This 1704-nucleotide long non-coding RNA is filed under the name Nicotiana tabacum (common tobacco). Its description in RNAcentral is "long non-coding RNA (NTAB_LNC004100)". Lineage: Eukaryota; Viridiplantae; Streptophyta; Magnoliopsida; Solanales; Solanaceae. The record is from RNAcentral.
CCUCUCUUUUUUUAUUUCAAUAUACAUGUCACGCACAAUUUUUUUUUUUCCUCGUAUACAACUAUUUAUUUAAACACUUAUAAGUAUUAGCGUUCAAAUUUUAUUGUUGGAUAUGAAUGAUUAAAUUGCUUAUUGAGUCCUUUUUUUAUCUACUGUAAAUUAGGUAAUCAAGCAUCUAAAAUUAAAGAAAAUAUCCAAAUACGUCAUGUACUAAUAGAAAUUACUCGUUUUUUAUAUUUUUCAAUAAAUUCUUUGAGUUUAAUAGAUGGUCGUGGAAUAUGAAGGGUUGCAAUGCAUACUGAGUUCUCUUUUAUCUACUGACUGAAAAUUAGGUAAUCAAGUAAGAUGGCACCUCUAUUACAUGAUCUCACUAUACACCCAAAAUACCUGGACUAAAUACUCUAAUGUUGCUUUGCGGAAAAUGGGCAUACAAAUUAGAGGCAGCUCAAGCACAUAUGUGGCCUAAAGCCAAAAUUUAAUUUGAGACCUAAAUUUUUAAAAGAAUAUUAUGAUAUAUAUUUUUAUUUGAAAUCUAUUAUUUUUCUAUCUUUGGAGAUGCAAAGUUGUUAAUAAUUUUUUUAUAAUCGAUUUCUCUAAUAAUUCCUUUUCAAUUGAUAGUAUAGCCAACCUAUUUAAUCUUUCUUGAGACAUUAUUGAUCUUAGGUAAGAUUUUAUCAAUUAUAAUUUUGAAAAAAUUAUAUUCUUUGAGGCAGCUAUUAUAGAAAAAUUCUACUUUUGUACUAAAAGUACUAAUUAUUUUUUAAAAAAAUACCUAUGAACCUAUUAUUUUUUUAAAAAAUGGGACCUCCCAAAUUUGGGGGCCUAAGACACAAGCCUUAUUUGUGAUAACCUUAGAGCCGGUCCUGAUACAAAUGAAGUCCAAUCUUCGUACAAUCUAUACUAUGAUUUUUCAAACAAGGUUACAGAAUUUACUCACCUCUACAGAGUGCAGAAAGUUAAUCCCUUGGCCCUGCUCACAAUCACAAAAUACUCCAUCACUCAAGUACUGUAGAUGGAUAAUCCACUGGAAAAAUUCAUCCCAUAUAUAUAUACAUCAACUAACAGUCAGUCACUUACUGUAUAAGGCCAAUCCAGUCAAGGAAAGAUCCAUCCCCGAAUAUAAAUAAUUCGGACAAGAUCCAUCCCUCAAUAUAAAUGCUUCGGGCAAGAUCCAUACCCAGGGAAGAUCCAUCCCUCAAUAUAAAAUCAAACACGCUCACUGUGGGGGUGCAGACUCCGGAGGGGCUCCUUCAGUCCAAACGCUAUAAUAGCCAGAUCCAGACAUAAAUAAAUAAAAUAUGUUGCGACGUGCAGCCCGAUUCCAUAAAUUAUCACUCAAAAUCUCCAACGCAUAUGUAUUUAUUGCUUUUCCUUUGUAAAAGAAAGAAAUGAUAUUUCGAUUAGAUAAUCUAUGGAUGAAUGGAUCAGAAAGCAGGGACAGGGUAGGGGUAAUUGGAAAUAUUACAAACUAUUACGAUACAAUAAGUCCUCAGUUUUGUGGCUUUAAUAGAAUCUGUUUGCCAAGAGAUUGGAACUUAAGGAAGAGAUGCCUAAUCUUCGAGGAAUAUUUUUUGUGUAUGUGAAUAUAUAUAUAUAUAUAUAUAUAUAUAUAUGCUACUCUAAGGAACCUAUUCAUAAUGGUUAACUUGAGAAAUAAAUAUGUGGCAGCAAUACGGUUGGGUAAAUCAAUUUAAAAUAUCGGAC